GUAAGUGAUUAUAGCACAAGGGUUCCACCUCUUCCCAUUCCGAACAGAGAAGUUAAGCCUUGUCACGCCGAUGGUACUGCAUAAUAGUGGGAGAGUAGGUAGUCGCCAGCU
This is a ribosomal RNA of Bacteroides fragilis NCTC 9343, 111 nucleotides long. The record is from Rfam. NCBI's taxonomy places the organism in Bacteria, Pseudomonadati, Bacteroidota, Bacteroidia, Bacteroidales, Bacteroidaceae.